This 21-nucleotide ribosomal RNA is filed under the name Amanita sp. 'Thai03'. RNAcentral describes it as "Amanita sp. 'sp-Thai03' partial 5.8S ribosomal RNA". Lineage: Eukaryota; Fungi; Basidiomycota; Agaricomycetes; Agaricales; Amanitaceae. The record is from RNAcentral.
CAACUUUCAACAAUGGAUCUC